UGGGUUGCCUCCCAACAAGCGCUAAGUUUAACGUCUUCAGCCAGACGCAGUGCAUCCUUAAUUAUAUCAUGCCGGGCUCAUGCGGGGUUCUCCAAGGAUGAAAAUUUGUGGAAGACUAAUUGUUGGGCAGGAAGUUGACUGCUUCUAUGGCCUUGUCUAUAUCAAAGUCAAAAUGGGCCAAGUAUGUUUUCAGAGGGUUAUCUGCCAAAAUAUAGGAAAGGGUUUCUUCUACAAGAUCGUCCAUUUUGUCAAUUAGGAAGCACUCAACUUUCUUUGCAGGUUGAUCAGAGGCACGAAAUAUAUUUAACUUGACCUUCAUAUUCCCAAAGGAUAUAUUCAUCACCCUAGUUCUACAAUUUAUACUCGCAUUGGCUGUAGCUAAAAAGGGGCGUCCAAGGAUCACGGGGAUUUGUUUCUUAGGAUUAGGCUCAUGUUCCAUAUCAAGGACGAUAAAAUCUACUGGAAAAUAGAAUUUGUCUACCUUGACAAGAACAUCUUCAAUUAUCCCACGUGGUGUUUUUACAGAUCGAUCAGCCAAUUGAAGGAAUACCGAGGUUGGUUUUAACUCACCUAACCCAAGUUUCUCAUAAACUGAGUAAGGUAAAAGGUUGACACUUGCCCCUAGAUCUAAGAGUGCUCGAUCAAUGAAAUUAUUUCCUAA
RNAcentral lists this long non-coding RNA (661 nucleotides) under Phoenix dactylifera (date palm). RNAcentral's name for it is "long non-coding RNA (PDAC_LNC013049)". The record is from RNAcentral. Lineage: Eukaryota; Viridiplantae; Streptophyta; Magnoliopsida; Arecales; Arecaceae.